RNAcentral lists this ribosomal RNA (505 nucleotides) under uncultured bacterium. Its description in RNAcentral is "partial 16S ribosomal RNA". It matches the Rfam family "Bacterial small subunit ribosomal RNA", at positions 28 to 507 of the family's 1533-position model. The record is from RNAcentral.
GACGAACGCUGGCGGCGUGCCUAAUACAUGCAAGUAGAACGCACAGUUUAUACCGUAGCUUGCUACACCAUAGACUGUGAGUUGCGAACGGGUGAGUAACGCGUAGGUAACCUGCCUGGUAGCGGGGGAUAACUAUUGGAAACGAUAGCUAAUACCGCAUAAUAUUGAUUAUUGCAUGAUAAUUGAUUGAAAGAUGCUAUUGCAUCACUACCAGAUGGACCUGCGUUGUAUUAGCUAGUAGGUGAGGUAACGGCUCACCUAGGCGACGAUACAUAGCCGACCUGAGAGGGUGAUCGGCCACACUGGGACUGAGACACGGCCCAGACGCCUACGGGAGGCAGCAGUAGGGAAUCUUCGGAAAUGGACGAAAGGCUGACCGAGCAACGCCGCGUGAGUGAAGAAGGUUUUCGGAUCGUAAAGCUCUGUUGUAAGAGAAGAACGGGUGUGAGAGUGGAAAGUUCACACUGUGACGGUAUCUUACCAGAAAGGGACGGCUAACUACGUG